Panicum virgatum (switchgrass) is the source of this 965-nucleotide long non-coding RNA. RefSeq lists it as uncharacterized. Lineage: Eukaryota; Viridiplantae; Streptophyta; Magnoliopsida; Poales; Poaceae. The record is from RefSeq and is a predicted model, not a curated record. The transcript is spliced from 3 exons.
AUACCAUUCUUCCAUCAUAAGCACAUGAUGAUCAAACUCUAAAUGAUCCUUCUGUCGGCAGAUUCCACGCUUGAGAAAAUGCAGUGCCUUCAAGGGUGUGGUCCAAAUCUGUCUCGUUUUAUUUUGGAAAAUCUGCUUCUCAGGCUCAGCGUAAUCUGCGUUCAGCUGAUGCCACGAUGAUGAAACGCACAUGCACACAGAGAAAGUGAUGAGACAUGCCAGCUUUUCUUUGUUCAUCCAAUGUAUCCUGAAUUCCUAAUGCAAGUAGUCAGUACUGAAUUAGUGCGGGAUGUUCAGAAGUCCAUAAAUCUGGUUGGGUCAACCAACAGCUGUCCAACAAGCACGAGCAGAACAUCAGGCCACAAGCAAGGACCUGACAUCAUGGACAGCGUAUCGAUGUAUACAGUAUGUGAUACACUAUAUUCAGGAAUAUGGCCGUGCCAUUGCAGUUGCCAGUGGUACAGGGCUACCUACAGGCACAGAGUUCAUCCUGGCUGGGGGCAUUUGAUCUGGAUAAAAUGACCCUUCAUGUUUGAAGAUGAAUCCGUGUACCAGAGCCAGCAGUUGUGAAAGGAAGAAGAUGAAUUCAGAUUCAAAGUGAAGGGCAGGAAAACAAUCACAGUGUCAGGACCCAGUACAGUUUAAUACGAACCACUUGCCGCAAUAGGUGAAGUGGGCUUUACUUUGUCUAAUUGCUAUAUAACUUAUUAUUACUGUUGAAUCAGAUCAGUUACACUAUAGGUAGAGUUCAACACUAGCAGCAUGCCAGUAUGGUAUAUUGAUCAGGACUAGCAAUACAAUACCCUAGAGGUAGAGUUUAUAUAUAAAAUAAUAAAUACCGAAUAAAUAACCACUGAUAGUUUUCAAAAUUAAAUCCUAGCUGUUUUUUAAGAUUAAAAUCCUAGCUGUCAUUAAGCAAUUACUUGUUAAGACCAUGAGCAAUUAUUUUUCGGAAAAAGGUUGUU